RNAcentral lists this long non-coding RNA (326 nucleotides) under Brassica napus (rape). RNAcentral describes it as "long non-coding RNA (BNAP_LNC015666)". Lineage: Eukaryota; Viridiplantae; Streptophyta; Magnoliopsida; Brassicales; Brassicaceae. The record is from RNAcentral.
AGAUGGAGAUGGAGAUGGAGUUGAUAGGGGAACAGAAAAGGAUGAGAAAGAGCGUCUUCUGGAGUCAUUGAUGGCGGAAGGUGGAGAUGCAAGUGAUGUGUGUGCUGCGGUUAGGGUUAAUCUUGAAGGGGAAAACAUGAGUGAGGCGGACAUUCCGGUGAAUCUCUCAUAGUAUCGGAUAGUCAAUGGAAAGAGGAAUUUUUUCCAAAAGAGACUGUCCCAGAUCGAGAAAUCGAGAAGGAGAAGAUCUCUUACGCGGAGAUUGUGAACGAUGGAUUCUCUCCUAAACCCAACCCGGAGUUUAAGGUAGUUGAUGGUGUAGAUGA